This 376-nucleotide long non-coding RNA is filed under the name Zostera marina. Its description in RNAcentral is "long non-coding RNA (ZMAR_LNC005474)". Lineage: Eukaryota; Viridiplantae; Streptophyta; Magnoliopsida; Alismatales; Zosteraceae. The record is from RNAcentral.
UCCCUUCAAAGUUCUUCUAAACAUACGACACCAAAUGUCUCUUCGCCCAGUAGUAUCCUCCAUUUCCAUACGGAACGAGUGGACGUGAUCUUCAGGAUCCGUUGUACCAUCAUAUGAUGUCAUUUUUGGGGCUCUCCACCCUGUCGGAUAACCUUCCACUAAAAGAUGUCGCGCUAAAGCUUCUUCAUUGUCCGCUGGUGUUAGUUGGUCCAGAUAACCAAUUGAUGGCCGUACAGGAACGUUCUCAUGCAUGCUUCUAUUUGCCAUUGACACAAUUUGUUCCUGAAGUUGCCUUUGAUUGUUUUGCAGAUCCGCGAUAAUUGACAUGAGUUGACUCUCUCUUGGUUCCCGCAAUAUGGGAAACGCUCUCCCAUAC